ACAAUCAGAUAUUUUUUACUUUUUGGCUCGUGGGUGUGUAGAGAUCUUGUUGUCUCUUUUAUGAAUGUAGUUUAGAAGAAGUCCAAAACAUCGAGCAAGUUGAUGAAGAGUAUCGAGACUCACCUUUGAAAAUUAAUUAGCCAAUUUCAUUCACGAUGCACCAUCUGUGUGAGAAUUGAUAAGAAAAUAGAACCAGAUAUGCAGAUUGCUUCCAAUAUUAUGUUUAUUGAGUUUAAUUGAGAGAUGAAGCAACUUCAGUUGUAAUAGUCUAGAU
Solanum dulcamara is the source of this 274-nucleotide long non-coding RNA. RefSeq lists it as uncharacterized. Lineage: Eukaryota; Viridiplantae; Streptophyta; Magnoliopsida; Solanales; Solanaceae. The record is from RefSeq and is a predicted model, not a curated record. The transcript is spliced from 4 exons.